RNAcentral lists this transfer RNA (64 nucleotides) under Tchangsinaia piscicula. RNAcentral's name for it is "tRNA-Leu". The record is from RNAcentral. Lineage: Eukaryota; Metazoa; Mollusca; Bivalvia; Unionida; Unionidae.
AGCAAGGUGGCAGAAAAGUGCUUCAGAUUUAAGCUCUGACUAUGAAGACCACUUCCCUUUCUAC